GAUGAACGCUGGCGGCGUGCCUAAUACAUGCAAGUCGAACGCAUAGCGAAAGGUUCUUGCCCCUUUCAAGUGAGUGGCGAACGGGUGAGUAACACGUGGAAAACCUGCCUCAAGGCUGGGGCUACCAUUUGGAAACAGAUGCUAAUACCGAAUAAAACUUAGUGUCGCAUGACACAAAGUUAAAAGGCGCUUCGACGUCACCUAGAGAUGGAUCCGCGGUGCAUUAGUUAGUUGGUGGGGUAAAGGCCUACCAAGACAAUGAUGCAUAGCCGAGUUGAGAGACUGAUCGGCCACAUUGGGACUGAGACACGGCCCAAACUCCUACGGGAGGCUGCAGUAGGGAAUCUUCCACAAUGGGCGAAAGCCUGAUGGAGCAACGCCGCGUGUGUGAUGAAGGCCUUCGGGUCGUAAAGCACUGUUGUAUGGGAAGAACAGCUAGAAUAGGAAAUGAUUUUAGUUUGACGGUACCAUACCAGAAAGGGACGGCUAAAUACGUG
RNAcentral lists this ribosomal RNA (497 nucleotides) under uncultured bacterium. RNAcentral describes it as "partial 16S ribosomal RNA". It matches the Rfam family "Bacterial small subunit ribosomal RNA", at positions 28 to 507 of the family's 1533-position model. The record is from RNAcentral.